This 433-nucleotide ribosomal RNA is filed under the name uncultured bacterium. RNAcentral's name for it is "partial 16S ribosomal RNA". It matches the Rfam family "Bacterial small subunit ribosomal RNA", at positions 29 to 507 of the family's 1533-position model. The record is from RNAcentral.
AACGAACGCUGGCGGCAUGCUUAACACAUGCAAGUCGAACGAGAACGUCGGGCUUUGUUGCGCACCUGUGCGUACGGAGUGGGAAGUUACACUUAGGUUCGGAAUACCUCACUGUAGGGGAAGCUAAUACAGGUUAAUGUCUUCGGAGCAAAGAUCUAUCGCCUUUGGAUGGGGCCUCGUUGGAUUAGCUGGUUGGUAGGGUAAAAGCCUACCAAGGAGACGAUCCAUGGCUGGUGGGUGAGGAUGAUCAGCCACACUGGGACUGAGACACGGACCAGACUCCUACGGGACGCAGGAGUAGGGAAUAUUGGACGAGGGGCGAAAGUCUGAUCCAGCAAUGCCGCGUGAGUGAUGAAGCCCUUAGGGUUGUAAAGCUCUUUUACCCGGGAUGAUAAUGACAGUACCGGGAGAAUAAGCUCCGGCUAACUCCGUG